This 985-nucleotide ribosomal RNA is filed under the name uncultured Leuconostoc sp. RNAcentral's name for it is "bacterial SSU rRNA". It matches the Rfam family "Bacterial small subunit ribosomal RNA", at positions 109 to 1080 of the family's 1533-position model. The record is from RNAcentral. Lineage: Bacteria; Bacillati; Bacillota; Bacilli; Lactobacillales; Lactobacillaceae.
AGUAACACGUGGACAACCUGCCUCAAGGCUGGGGAUAACAUUUGGAAACAGAUGCUAAUACCGAAUAAAACUUAGUGUCGCAUGACAAAAAGUUAAAAGGCGCUUCGGCGUCACCUAGAGAUGGAUCCGCGGUGCAUUAGUUAGUUGGUGGGGUAAAGGCCUACCAAGACAAUGAUGCAUAGCCGAGUUGAGAGACUGAUCGGCCACAUUGGGACUGAGACACGGCCCAAACUCCUACGGGAGGCUGCAGUAGGGAAUCUUCCACAAUGGGCGAAAGCCUGAUGGAGCAACGCCGCGUGUGUGAUGAAGGCUUUCGGGUCGUAAAGCACUGUUGUAUGGGAAGAACAGCUAGAAUAGGAAAUGAUUUUAGUUUGACGGUACCAUACCAGAAAGGGACGGCUAAAUACGUGCCAGCAGCCGCGGUAAUACGUAUGUCCCGAGCGUUAUCCGGAUUUAUUGGGCGUAAAGCGAGCGCAGACGGUUUAUUAAGUCUGAUGUGAAAGCCCGGAGCUCAACUCCGGAAUGGCAUUGGAAACUGGUUAACUUGAGUGCAGUAGAGGUAAGUGGAACUCCAUGUGUAGCGGUGGAAUGCGUAGAUAUAUGGAAGAACACCAGUGGCGAAGGCGGCUUACUGGACUGCAACUGACGUUGAGGCUCGAAAGUGUGGGUAGCAAACAGGAUUAGAUACCCUGGUAGUCCACACCGUAAACGAUGAACACUAGGUGUUAGGAGGUUUCCGCCUCUUAGUGCCGAAGCUAACGCAUUAAGUGUUCCGCCUGGGGAGUACGACCGCAAGGUUGAAACUCAAAGGAAUUGACGGGGACCCGCACAAGCGGUGGAGCAUGUGGUUUAAUUCGAAGCAACGCGAAGAACCUUACCAGGUCUUGACAUCCUUUGAAGCUUUUAGAGAUAGAAGUGUUCUCUUCGGAGACAAAGUGACAGGUGGUGCAUGGUCGUCGUCAGCUCGUGUCGUGAGAUGUUGGGU